RNAcentral lists this long non-coding RNA (550 nucleotides) under Homo sapiens (human). RNAcentral's name for it is "non-protein coding lnc-RSBN1-3:1". The record is from RNAcentral. Lineage: Eukaryota; Metazoa; Chordata; Mammalia; Primates; Hominidae.
AACCGAAAAAGAUGGGCCACAUAAAGCCAGACUUGAUUGACGUUGACUUAAUCAGAGGGUCAACAUUUGCCAAAGCAAAACCUGAAAUUCCAUGGACAUCUCUGACUCGGAAGGGGCUUGUUCGAGUUGUAUUUUUUCCAUUGUUCAGCAAUUGGUGGAUUCAGGUUACCUCUUUAAGAAUCUUUGUUUGGCUGUUACUACUUUAUUUCAUGCAAGAUAACAAGACCAUCAGGAAACAAUGGAAAUCGAAGAAGAAGAGUUUCGCUCUUGUUGCCCAGGCUGGAGUGCAAUGGCGCAAUCUCGGCUCACUGCAACCGAUACCUCCUGAGUUCAAGCGAUUCUCCUGCCUCAGCCUCUCAAGUAGCUGGGAUUACCUGCGUAUGCCACCACACCCAGCUAAUUUUUUUUUUUGAAUUUAGUAGAGAUGGGAUUUCACCAUGUUAAUCAGGCUGAUCUAGAACUCCUGACCUCAGGUGAUCCACCCGCCUCGGUCUCCCAAAGGACUGGGAUUACAGGCGUGAGCCACUGCACCCAGCCGUCUAAACUUUUA